AUACCCUACAUCCUACUUGGGAGUUGUAUUUCUUAGUAUGAGUGUUACAGGAUACCACAGGUGCCUGUGCAUGCAGUGUGACAUUUUUCCCAGACGUGUGUCACAGCCACAUGAAGUACAACUUUGCUCAUCCAUGCUGGACGCCAUGCAGCACCCGGUCCACUUGUAACAUCACAAAAUUUCAAACCUUUACAUGUGCAUUGCAUCCAUGAGCAUCAUGCCACAAAUGCAUGUUUGAAUUCAAAUUUGAAUCUCAAAAGUCUUUAAAAGAUUUGGUUUACACCCAUUUGAGCUUUGGAUUUUCAAACCAUUAAGGUUCAAGUAUAAAAGGGGUUUAUUGCAAAUAUGAGCUACCCCAUAGUUUUUGGAUAAUUAUUUGGAGUUGAAAACGUAUUUUAUUUUAAAUAGAUAUAUGGCCCUAAAGGCAUUUAUAGGGCAAAUGUAUUUUUACAUAUUUUAUUUUGAAGAGAAACUACUUCCAAAAGUUGUAUCUUGGUAGAACAUGAUUUUACAAAUUUUCUGAAAUUUGUUUGGACCAAUUUGGAGUUCAAACACAAAAGAUAUCAAAGAAAUGAGAAAAACAAAAAAAGAAAAGGCCUAAAAGAAAAAAAAAAGGGGGUAAACCGGACCGGCCCGGCCAAAAUGGGCCGAACAGGCCCAGUCUGACCGCGCCCGACCGGCCCAGACCGCCCGGUCCACGCGCGCGCGCCCGCAGUCGCUGACAGGUGGGGUCCACCUGUCAGCUGCGUCUUCCCCGAAGGAAAGCGCCACCGUCCCCGCGCGCCGCUGCAAUCUCCUCCUCCGGCCUUCCAUUUUCAUGCCC
Molecule: long non-coding RNA, 823 nt
Filed under: Brachypodium distachyon (stiff brome)
Lineage: Eukaryota; Viridiplantae; Streptophyta; Magnoliopsida; Poales; Poaceae
Description: long non-coding RNA (BDIS_LNC000894)
Source: RNAcentral